GCUUGAGAUAAAUGUUUGUACUUUUUUGUGUAUAUAUAUAGUGAUUGAUUUUUGUCAAGGAUCUAACAAAAUCUCCAUCUUUUUUUGUAUUUUCUUCAACGAAGGCAAUAUUCUCGAUUGCCCAAUCAAUAUUCAUUCUCUGCUUCAGCAAUGGAGUCUUUGACCAGAAGAAGAACACAACUGGCGAUCUUCUUGGCAUUCCUGUUUCUCUUCUUCAUUAGCUUAAACCUCUCACUUACCAUAAAUUCAGCUCCAUAUGAUAGUCAUUUGAGGAAGUUGCUAGCAAGACCACCGCGAACCGCAAACCGGCCUCCUACACCUAUGUCAAAUCCUAAUAAACAUUUUGAAGUUCCUCCAGGACCUCCUCCUCCACAAGAUGAUGGGACGAGGUGAUGAUAAUGUCGACGGACGAUGUUCUUUCUGAUCUCAUCACACACACAGAUAUGAAGUAUGUUGACAGACCAUGUGUCGAAGACCAAGAAUAAUACAACCCGGAUGAGUAUGAGAGUUGUGUAAACUGAAGUUAUUGUUCCGAAGAUUUUAACAUGUAGAAGAAAAUAAUAAUGGCGUGCUGCAAUGAAAUCACGCCAUUAUCAUUUAGGAAAAGUUUAGUCAAACUUUAAAAAUUCAUAAAAGUAGGCUGACCGAUCGUUUAAUUAUUAUUUUCUUCAAGUUAUUUGGGCAUCGGAGGCCACUCCUUGGUCCCCACACGCCAAUUACUGGGACCCAAUCUUGGGAAAAUUUGGUGAUUUGGUUUGCGAAGUUGUUGUUUGGGUAGCGUGCUCAUAGUUAAAUGAACCGAAGGCUUUGGCUGGAACCUGGUUUGCUCAUCUUGCAGAUUUGCAAGCACACUUUGGCACCGCGUCUUAGCCUGCUCAUGCAUAAAGGAUAGAACUCAAAAGAAAUUUACCGAAGUGUAUGAUAAGUUCCUUAUUCAAAAGCUCUGGCGAUCUCUUCUAAGAACUAGUACAAACACUAAUAGACGUUGUUUGGAUAGCACAUCAGAAGUAAAUUUUCGACUUCUAAAAAGUUGAAAAGUCAGAAGUUAGUUUGGCUGUCAGAUUUCAAAACAACUUUCAGAAAUCAAAAAGUUAACUUUUUAUGAAGCAAAAUAAUGUUGUUUCUGACUUCGACUUUUGAAGAAGCAGAAGUCAAAAGAAGAUUUGUAUACAAACGCGCUAUAAAAUGAGGACUAGUUGGAUACCUUUGAGCUUCAAGUAAUCGUUGAAGCCGUAAAAAUUGUAGGAAACUUUUGUGUUUUACAAUUCAUUUGGCGGUUUCCUUUUGGGAUAAAUAUAUAUCAUUUUGACAA
Molecule: long non-coding RNA, 1312 nt
Organism: Papaver somniferum (opium poppy)
Lineage: Eukaryota; Viridiplantae; Streptophyta; Magnoliopsida; Ranunculales; Papaveraceae
Exons: 2
Source: RefSeq, a predicted model, not a curated record